This is a non-coding RNA of Nippostrongylus brasiliensis, 84 nucleotides long. The record is from Rfam. Lineage: Eukaryota; Metazoa; Nematoda; Chromadorea; Rhabditida; Heligmosomidae.
GCUCCAAUGGCGCAGUUGGUUAGCGCGUGGUACUUAUAGGACUGAGAAAUGCCGAGGUCAGGAGUUCGAUCCUCCCAUGGAGCA